CAUUCACACAGUCCCUCUACUAUGGGUCUAACAGGGGAGUGGACAUUCACACAGUCCCUCUACUAUGGGUCUAACAGGGGAGUGGACAUUCACACAGUCCCUCUACUAUGGGUCUAACAGGGGAGUGGACAUUCACACAGUCCCUCUACUAUGGGUCUAACAGGGGAGUGGACAUUCACACAGUCCCCUCUACUAUGGGUCUAACAGGGGAGUGGACAUUCACACAUCCCCUCUACUAUGGGUCUAACAGGGGAGUGGACAUUCACACAGUCCCUCUGCUAUGGAGUCAAACAGGGGAGUGGACAUUCACACAGUUCCUCUUCUAUGCAGUCAAACAGGGGAGAGGACAUUCACACAGUCCCCUCUACUAUGGGUCUAACAGGGGAGUGGACAUUCACACAGUCCCUCUACUAUGGAGUCAAACAGGGGAGAGGACAUUCACACAGUCCCCUCUACUAUGGGGUCUAACAGGGGAGUGGACAUUCUCACAGUCCCUCUACUAUGAGUCUAACAGGGGAGUGGACAUUCUCACAGUCCCUCUACUAUGAGUCUAACAGGGGAGUGGACAUUCUCACAGUCCCUCUACUAUGAGUCUAACAGGGGAGUGGACAUUCACACAGUCCCUCUACUAUGGGUCUAACAGGGGAGAGGACAUUCACACAGUCCCUCUGCUAUGUGUCUAACAGUGUAGAGGACAUUCACACAGUCCCUCUACUAUGGAUCAAACAGGGGAGUGGACAUUCACACAGUCCCCUCUACUAUGGGUCAAACAGAGGAGUGGACAUUCACACAAGCUUCCCACAAUAAGUUGGGGGAAUUUUGGCCCAUUCCUCCUGACAGAGCUGGUGUAACUGAGUCAGGUUUGUAGGCCUCCUUGCUCGCACACGCUUUUUCAGUUCUGCCCACAAUUUUUUAUGGGAUUGAGGUCAGGGCAUUGUGAUGGCCACUCCAAUACCUUGACGUUGUUGUCCUUAAGCCAUUUUGCCACAACUUUGGAAGUAUGCUUGGGGUCAUUGUCCAUUUGGAAGACUCAUUUGCAACCAAGCUUUAACUUCCUGAACAAUGUCUUGAGAUGUUGCUUCAAUAUAUCCACAUAAUUGUCCUGCCUCAUGAUGCCAUCUAUUUUGUGAAGUGCACCAGUCCCUCCUGCAGCAAAGCACCCCCACAACAUGAUGCUGCCACCCCCGUGCUUCACGGUUGGGAUGGUGUUCUUUGGCUUGCAAGCCUCCCCCUUUUUCCUCCAAACAUAACGAUGGUCUUUAUGGCCAAACAGUUCUAUUUUUGUUUCAUCAGACCAGAGGACAAUUCUCCGAAAAGUACAAUCUUUGUCCCCAUGUACAAUUACAAACCGUAGUCUGGCUUUUUUUUGGCGGUUUUAGAGCAGUGGCUUCUUCCUUGCUGAGCGGCCAUUCAGGUUAUGUCAAUAUUGGACUCGUUUUACUGUGGAUAUAGAUACUGUUGUACCUGUUUCCUCCAGCAUCUUCACAAGGUCUUUUGCUGUUGUUCUGGGAUUGAUUUGCACUUUUUCACACCAAAGUACGUUCAUCUCUAGGAGACAGAACGCGUCUCCUUCCUGAGCCGUAUGAUGGCUGCGUGGUCCCAUGGUGUUUAUACUUGCGUACUAUUGUUUGUACAGAUGAACGUGGUACCUUCAGGCAUUUUGAAAUUGCUCCCAAGGAUGAACCAGACUUGUGGAGGUCUACAAAUGUAUUUCUGAGGUCUUGGCUGAGUUCUUUUGAUUUUCCCAUGAUGUCAAGCAAAGAGGCACUGAGUUUGAAGGUAGGCCUUGAAAUACAUCCAUAGGUACACCUCCAAUUGACUCAAAUGAUGUCAAUUAGCCUAUCAGAAGCUUCUAAAGCCAUGACAUAAUUUUCUGGAAUUUUCCAAGCUGUUAAAAGGCACAGUCAACUUAGUGUAUGUAAACUUCUGACCCACUGGAAUUGUGAUACAGUGAACUAUAAGUGAAAUAAUCUGUCUGUAAACAAUUGUUGGAACAAUUACUUGUGUCAUGCACAAAGUAGAUGUCCUAACUGACUUGCCAAAACUAUAAUUUGUUAACAAGAAAUUUGUGGAGUGGUUGAAAAAUAAGUUUUAAUGACUCCAACCUAAGUGUAUGUAAACUUCUGACUUCAACUGUAUCUAUACUGAUGUGUCUCUGAGGUGUUGUACUAAAGAGGAAAACCAGUGGAUUGUGUUGAGAUGCAGUCAGUUCUACUGUAGUAGGCCUCAGAUAGACUCUUCCUCUGGGGAUAACCUAGCAGUUUUAGGAGACCUCCCCCUCCCUUUUACCCACCUUCACUUCCCUAUCCCCACCAGGAGAGCCCCGGAACAGAGCCCCGGAACAGAGCCCCGGAACAGAGCCCCGGAACAGAGCCCCGGAACAGAGCCCCGGAACAGAGCCCCGGAACAGAGCCCCGGAACAGAGCCCCGGAACAGAGCCCCGGAACAGAGCCCCGGAACAGAGCCCCGGAACAGAGCCCCGGAACAGAGCCCAGGAACAGAGCCCAGGAACAGAGCCCAGGAACAGAGCCCAGGAACAGAGGAAAGAGGAAUAGAGGAAAGGAUAGAUGGAUAGAGGAAGGAUAGAGGAGAGGAAAGAGGGAUAGAUGAGAGGAAAGAAGGAUAGAGGAGAGGAAAGAGGGAUAGAGGAGAGGAAAGACGGAUAGGGGAGAGGAAAGAGGGAUAGAGGAGAGGAAAGAAGGAUAGAGGAGAGGAAAGAGGACCACUUGUCUGUCCCACCAACAACCCAAAAUGAUUUCACAAAAAGACUUGGAACCCCUUUUCACAAUUGUCCCUACAUUGUCCCCCUCCUCACCCCUCUCCCUCCUCCUACCCCAGCCCCCUUCCCUCUCCUCCACAGCUGCCCCUACCUCUCCUCUCCUCUGACUCUCCGUUGUGGAUGAAAGGCCCAUCAAAAGUAUCACUGGCUGCAUUUACAAGUGAAUGAGGCCUAAUAAUGGAGCAGUUAGGGGGAGAAUGGGCCGAGUCCCGGGAAGGCUCACAGAUGUU
Molecule: long non-coding RNA, 3009 nt
Filed under: Salmo salar (Atlantic salmon)
Lineage: Eukaryota; Metazoa; Chordata; Actinopteri; Salmoniformes; Salmonidae
Description: lncRNA (ENSSSAG00000118662.1)
Source: RNAcentral